UUAGGCACCUACAGUGUUUUAGUGAGAAGCUAGAGGAGGAAGAGGACUUCCCUUGUAAUUUUUAUACUGGGAUGUGGGGACCACAUUUCAAGUCCCUCUUCUACCUGAGGGUGUGAAGGGAGUGGAACAAGGAUCUAGAACCUCUUAGUGAGAAAAAGCUUCCAUUGGCAUUGAGAGCGAAAAUGUAGUGGGAAAGUGACCUGAUGAAAGAGCUGGGGCCUGACACAAAUGUGAAGCAGGACCAGCAAGAUGCUGUAUCAAACCAGGGAAGAACAGAAAAGCUGGGAUGGAGCAGGGAAUGACCAGGGAAUCAGAGGAAUGGAUUAUAUAAACUUGAGCAAUGAAACUGCCAAUGAACAGGUUGGGACCACCCAUCAGCAAACAGCAGCUGAACCCAGCAGGCAGAAAGGAGAGCUGGCCUCCCUGAGUUUGCGCAAAGGGACCGCCACAGACUCCACUACCGGGGGUGGCUUGACAGACCUCUUCUGCAAUGGAAGUCGAGGGAAGGCCAGGGACUGAGCAACUGAGGGACCUGCAUCACUACAGAGUGAGCUGUCUGCCUUGCAGAAGGACAUCACAACUGUAAAUACUGCCUAUACUACAGUGGGGUAGCAAGGAAAGGAGUCUGCGAUGAGUGAAGACCUGGUCUGUGUGUGCAGACAGGUGAAGGUUCACAGGUGAAGGGAUGUGUCAACAUCACCAUACACCCAUGCGAUGAUCAGGCCUGAAACAGACCCCAGAAAAGGAGAAGAGAACACCCAGGAAGAACAAAGACACCUGAGCUCCCACUUCAAAGGUCUGGUCCUUCAAGGAGUUCUCCAGCCAAAUCAGGGGAGGCCAAGCUCUCUAUUCCUGAUAAUUCAAAGGUGAAAGGAAGGGGAAUUUAUAUAAGAAAUAACAAAACCUACUUUUCAGAACUUCUUUAACAGCAUAAAAAAAGUGAAGCAGCAUACAAAUCCAUCCCACCCCACAUAAACACGUGGCCUUUCAAAAUCUUUUCCCUAAGGAAAAAUAAUUGACUGUAUUAAAGGGGAAAUGACACUUGACUAACUGAAUAGUGUCAUAGU
Mauremys reevesii (Reeves's turtle) is the source of this 1067-nucleotide long non-coding RNA. RefSeq lists it as uncharacterized. The record is from RefSeq and is a predicted model, not a curated record. The transcript is spliced from 5 exons. Lineage: Eukaryota; Metazoa; Chordata; Testudines; Geoemydidae.